This 10480-nucleotide long non-coding RNA is filed under the name Solanum lycopersicum (tomato). RNAcentral's name for it is "long non-coding RNA (SLYC_LNC000508)". The record is from RNAcentral. Lineage: Eukaryota; Viridiplantae; Streptophyta; Magnoliopsida; Solanales; Solanaceae.
CAUUUCUCAAAAUUAUUUCUCCUCGCCUUUCUGUAAAUUUUGGAGAGAGAAAAUUUUUUUACCUGCACUUUAAGGUAAACAUUACUAACCUAAAAACUCUCCUACACAAAUAAGAAAAAUAUUACUAAAAAGGAUCUCCUAGAAAAUAAGGAUUCCCCAACCUAAUUCAUUAGAUAAGCACACACAUAAAUUAUAUACUCUCUCAGAACAACGACAUCAAACAUCAUAUAUUUUUGUCACGGUAGGGUAGCCAGAAACACCAAUCUUUUCAGAAGUUUCUAGGUAUGUAGAUCCUUUUUUUAACUCCUCUAUUUCUAUGAUGUUCUGCUAUCUUUGUUGCUCUGCAUAUUGUCAUUGAGAAUUCAUCCUUGUAUUAUAUUUUAUAUAAUAAUAAUAAUUCAUCAAUAUUUAAGCAUUAACUGGGAAAGAAACAAAAAAUAAACGUGAGGACUUUAUCAUUUUUUAGGCGUUAUUUGUGAUUUCCAAGUUGUUUUAUUUGUAAAAGUGUUUUUUUUUUGUGUGUACGUGAACUCUAGCUGUUUUGACAAUGGGUCAAGAUCUCUUCUUUGAAAUUAUCAAGUUUUGUGAUUAAUACUCUCUGUUGUGACCCCUUGAUCUAUGUGUUAUUAUGAGUUCUUUGUUAUUUAAAUACUUGAAAUCAUCAUUAUAAAUUCUUGAAACAUCAACCAUAAGAAGCUUAUUUUAGGUAGAUGUGAAUUGUUCAGUUAGUUAUUUUGAUUAUAUCUUUCAUGUUAAUAAUCUACUUUAAUUCUGAAGCCAGUGUUUACUUCGCUUGAACUGUCACAUGUCUCUGUUUUUCAAUUAAAGUUUUCUUCAAUGUCUCUUAAUCAUAAACACGUUAUAAAUUAAAUAUUGAAUUUAUAGAUGCCUUGAUCAUGUUUUGUUUUAAUAUGACUUUCAUGUUUGACAUUUAAGAGUUCGUAAUCUCGAAAGCAAUAACUAUUGUGUCUCACGAGUAACACAAUUAUCAACCUGUGUGUUUUCAUAUAUAACUAGGCAGAAACUAAAACUCAAUCAAUUUGCUAUUGUUCAGUUACAUUAACGAUAGUUAGGGACAUAAUUUGCAAAGUUAUUUGACACUAUAGGUUAUUGAUUUGUAUGAGCUUGUGCAACCUUUCCUGAUGAAUACUGAAGCAUCUGGUUCUCAUUUGAUUUUUUGCCUAUGCUGUUGGAGUUACAGUGCCUUUAGUUUUACCAGGAACUAGCUCUUUUCCCUGAAUUAAAGAUUUGCCCAUUUGCAUUGAAUUGCAAAUGGGACUCCAUGUUAUUGCUAGAAUAAGGAAUGAAUAUAGAGUUAGUAAGUUUACCUGAGCCUGACUUAGUUCCAUGAAUCUGCAAACCUGUAAGUUCUUCUCCUCCUUGCAGCCCAUUGAUUAGAUUAUAAGGUGUCUUCAAAACCAUAAUGCUUCCACCUGGUGAAGGUUCAAUGAUUUUUUUCUGUGGUAUAGAUGUUGGAGUGAGUAAGAGACAUUAGCAUUGACAUAAAAUAAUAGACAUUUCAAUCUGCACGAAGACUUAACUAGGUGAAUUUAUAACAGAGAUCUUUAUUGGAUGGAAAAAAUCCUUCGUUUGAUGCCUAAACUGCUACACACCACUUUUGUCCAACAACCCAGGAUCCUUUUUUUGAACCUUACUCUAUUAAGCGCUACGACUUUAUCAUUAACAAGGUCACGACCCUUGUAUUCACUACUGUAAGUCCCUUGGCUAAUCUGCAAGAAUAGAACGCUAUUACACAACCUAAAAACUAUAGAACUAGUAUAUUUCAAUCUCCACCAACCCUUCACUAGGUGGAUGUAUAAUAGGGACCUAUUAAUUCUCCCUAAAUAGGCAUAUGGAACAAGGGGACAAAAUCACACGAUUCAAAAUUAGGAGAAAUGAAGAAGCAGAAGAAAGAUAGAGGAUAUAUAGAGUAAGACUGGGCAACGGAACGGGACGUACCGGUACCGUUCCGGUUCGUCCCGUUUCGGUUGCCUACGGGACGGGCCGGGAUAUUCUAAACCGGUACACGGAACGGGACGGAACCGUAGUUUCGUACCGGUGUACCGGUACCGGUUCAUCCCGGUUCAUUCCGGUUUCGGUCCGGUCCGGUCAGUUCCGGUUCCGGUCCGGUUUAUUUAAUAUAUAUUAAUUUUUUUAUAUUUUAUAUUUUAUAUGAUUUAUAUUUAUAUUUUUUAUAAAUUAUAUUUUAAAAUUUAAAUUUUUUUCAAAAAUCCCGCCCAUUGAAAUUGUAAUUUGUUACAAAUUUAAAUAAAUUAAAUUGAUAUUUUUUAAUUUUUGUAAUUUAAUUUACUUUUUUAAAAUUACAAAUUUUAUUUAUUUAAUAUUUACAAGAUACAAGUUAUAAAUAUAACUUAUAAAAUAAAUAUUAAUAAAUAUAAGUAAUAACUUAUAAAGUAUAAACUUCAAAAGAUUUAAAUUUUGAAAACUUUAUUAGAUUACUUGCAAACUUAACAAUAAUAAAAAAAAAUUAAUAAAAUAUCUUUAAAAUAAACUUAAGUUAAAAAUUAUAGUAUAAAUUUAAAAACUAUUAAUUUAUACUUAAAAAAUAAAAAAAAAUUAUAUUUUCGUAAUUUAAAAAAUAUCGUCCCGUUAAUUCCGUCCCGUUCCAUCCCGGUCCGUUCCGGUUCAUUCCGGUUCCGUCCCGGUAUAUAGUGGAACGGGACGGAACCGAUGAAUCAUCCCGGUAAUUCCGGUCCGGUUCAUCCCGGUACCGGUCAACGGAUUCCGGUCCGGUCCGGUACCGGUUCAUUCCGAUCCGGUGACCCGGUUCCGGUCCGUUGACCAGUCUUAAAUUAUAGAGUAAAUAUGAUUAGGUAAGAGCAACCUAAUACAAAAGAAACAGACUUAAAUUUGUUUCAGGAAAAACGAGAAAAAAUACAAAUAGUGGAGGGAUUAUAACCCAGCAAAAAAGUGGAAAGUUAAGUACCAUAACUUGAAACACCAAAAAGUGCGUAGUCUUUUCAUCAUUUUCAGUCAUUGGAAUUGUCUAUCUCACUAUGCUUUGAAAUCUGCAUGCUAUCAAAUUAUUGAUAUUCGACUCAGUGCACAACAUACAAGCAGUAACAUCAAAAUUUGGAAAUAACAUAUUCUUCCAUGGUUCUAAGCUCAAAAAUAUGGAAGAAACAAGAAUUUUCACAUCUCUACCACCAAGUCAAUUUUGUUCCACAUCCCUUUUCGGCUAAGGAAUAUGGAUGAAACACGCAUUUCCACGGCUAAGGAAUAUGGAUAAAACACGCAUUUCCACAACUCUAAGGUUAAAAAACCCAUCCUAAUCCCUCUUUCGUGUCCAUAUCUCUUUCUGACGAAGGAAUUGGAAAUUUUUUGUUACAUGACUCCUUUUUUCAUUUCAAGGUACUGUUAAGUACUGAAACCAUUAAAAGAAAGGAAGGAAACCCCCAAUUAUUUAUUGGACACGGGAAAUAAAUACCAUUCAGGUAAAAUUUCGCAACAGAAGAGAGAGUGUUCAUGUUUGGUAAUUCCCUUUUGCCUACAUGUUAUUGUUGUGUUGACUUUCAUAUGAACUCGAGCUUAGAAUCUGUUCAGAAUCUCUUUUGCUAAAAUCUGUUAAGUCUAACGACCGGUAUAGCCUAAGCGGUAGUCACAACUCUUUUCUAUUGUUUGAUAAAAGUGGUCAGCAACAGCAGAUGUAAUAAACGGACGAUGAAAAUUUCAAGGUGAAUUCUUAUUCAUUAGAUUUCUACUGUAAGAGGAUAUUAACAAUAUUAUGCACAUUGACAAUCACACACAGCUAGAAACAAACCAUGAUAUAAUAUUUGUUGGAUUUUAAAAAGGUGUUAAUGAAAAAUAAAGAGUUGUGGAUUUUAUGAAUAGUUAUGACUUUUAUGAAAUAUUGAGACUUUUAUGGAAAAUUGUGACUUUUAUGGAAAGUUGUGACUUUUAUGAAAGGUGACGACCUUUCUAAAAGAUUGUGACUUUUCCAAAGGUUUGUGACCUUUCCGAUAAGGCACAAUAAAAAUCUUUUCGCACUACCCUUUGUUUUCUAUAAAUUGAGGGAUUUCCUCUCAUUUUAAUAUAGAAUUCAUGGACUUCUUCUUCAACUACUAAAUCUAGUAUUCUAAGUGUACUUUACUUCCAUUGAGUGGUUCGCUGACAUUGGAGUUUUUGGUAUCUAUACUCUGGUGAUUGAGAUCAUUUUACCUUGGGAGGUCAUAUUCCAAAUCAAACCUCGGAUAUUAGAGGGGAAUAAUUUCCUUAUGGGGACACUGUGAGUUUAGUGGACUUGAUCUUUUUCCUAUUAAAAAUUUCCAGAUUCUAGUACGUGUUUUACAAAUUUUAGAUUUUUGAAUUAAAUUCAGUUCUUCUAUCUUUUUUUUUCUUCACUGGUUCAUUAAACUUGGUAACUUCGUGUUUCUGCAAAGUUUGUUGGAAUCAGUAAAAUUCUUUAGACACAUAUUAACAACAAUUCUUCUUUAAGAAAAAUAUUUCGUAUAUAUUUUUUUAAAUUUGUUUCUGAUUCUAGUUUCGCUACUAGUUUUAAUUUUCUAGUUGUGAAAAUGUUCUUAAACUUUGUUGUCUUACAAAGAUGUUCAACGUUUGUUCUAAGUAUGUUUGGAAUACAAGAUGAACAACAAUCUUUAGGAAAUUAAUAUACUGUUAGUAUUUUUUGUAUUCUACUAAUUGAAAGAAUCUGAUCAUGGAAGUAGAAGAUAAAUGCAUUACUUCUCCACAAUUCGUUGCCUUGUUUAGCAAGGUCGAAAUGAGAAUGUAAACAGAAAUUUUUAUGGUAUUACGUUUAAAGAUUACCAGGUAACUUUCUUAUUAAAUUAUUUAUGGAGGAAAAUAGUUUCUAAGAGUUAUCAUCUUUGAUUUUUUUUUUCAAUUAUGUGUAUCUUUUGAAAGAGAUCUGCAAACCAUAUGUUGUGGAAUGGAUUUUACUUCGCAAAUAUUGUUGCUUUUAAAAUUCUUUAGUUUGCAAAAAUGAGAUAUGCAUAUUUUUGUUUGUAUAAAAUAGUAUGUCAAAAUGUUAUAGUUGGAAGACUAUUUGAUAAGAAAAUUUUUUUUAUGUGAUAAAGAAUAUGUGUUAUUUUGUUUGGAGAAAAAAAAAGACUUUUGUAGUUUUGUACUCCAUGAGAAAUGUUAGUGUGUCUGAUUUUUGUAGACUAAAAACUUUUGUGGUUUUAUACUCCGAAUAAAUUGGACUAUGCAAUUGAUUUGAAGAACAUGAAAACUUCACAUAAUAAGUCAGUGUUGUACUUUUGAAUAGUUUUUUUGUCCUUAUUGUUAGUAUUUAAACUAAGUGGUAUGUCUAUUUAUGAUAGAGGAAAAAUGUCAGUGACUUAGAAUUUGUGAUUUUGUGUCUCUAUGGAAUGAACUUUGACAUUGAGUAAACAUUGUCAAAGAGAAUUGCAGCACUAUAAUUCUUUCGUAGAAUAAUGUUUCCAACAUUAAAAUAUGUGGAAAAACUAUUUUCAAAUAUUUGAAAAAUAUUUUUGAGAUCACAUUUGAAAUGUGGGGGUUAUUUGCUUAUGAUUAGACUUGGUGUCUAAUUUAACUUAGGAGCAAAAGAUAUGAAAUUCAAUGAUACUUUUGUAUUAUGUUAUACCCACAAAAUUCUUGGAGUAUAUUUGGUAUUGUGGUUGUUGAGUUUCUCUAUUACUAAUAUAUAGUGUGACUAAUAUGAAACAUCCAAAUUAGAUAUAUACUUGUUCAAAAUAAUUGUAUUCUUUUAUGGGAAAAAAAACACUUAAAAUGUUGUGAUUUUUCAUGAAAAGAUAUGUCUAUUAUAAUAAAAGUAUUUGCAUAGACAUGAAUAUUGGUGAAUAGUCAUUUGUUAUAUUUUUGUAAAAAUAACAUUUGGACUAUAUUGUCUUUAUUGAACCCGAUGAAACUUUGUUCAUGGGUAGUUCUAUAACAAUCAUAUUGAAUGUUAUGGAAAUGUCCUUCUGAAAAGGACAUGUGACAAUCUAAAUAAUGUUUGUAUCACACAAAAUUGUAAGAAAUAAGAACAAAAUAUUAAGAGGAAAAAUCUACCUCGUGGAGUGCUUUUCAAACUCAAUGUUUUUAUUUGUUCUUACUUGCUUGAGUCAAUGUUUGUGACAUGAACACUUGGGGCAUGUCAAUUACAAAACCUUGUAAGGAAAACUGAUAAACUUAGAAGUUUUGCCUAACUUUGAGUGUAAUAAAUAAAAAUGUCAAGUUUUUGUGGAAUCUAAGUAUGUUGAACAUUCUUAUAAAUCUAUUGAAAGGAAUUCUAAUCCCUUAUAAUUGAUUUACACUAACAUUUGUGAUAUGAAAUUAACACCAUCUCAUGGUGGGAAAAAGUAUUUGUUACUUUUAUUGAGAAUUGCAUUAUAAAUGACUAUGUCUAUUUGCUGAAUGGUAAGGAUGAAACAAUAGAAAUGUCUAGACAAUGUAAUAUCGAAGUUAAAAAUCAGUGUGAAAAAAUAUAAAAAGUGAUAAGAAUGGAGAGUAUAAAUCUCAUUGCGCAGAAAUAUGUUUGGAAAGUGGAAUAUCCAUCAAACUAUUGUCAUAUUCACCUCAAUCUAAUGAAAAACCGAACGUUGAAAGAAAUGAUGGAUGCAUUAUUUAUAAGUUCGGGUUUACACAAAACUUAUGUGGAGGAACUAUCCUUAUUGCAAAAGGGAACAACAAAAAGUUUUGUCUCUUUAGAGAGAAAGCAACUUUGUUUAAUCAAAAUACAAUAUUUUCCGUAUGAGAAACGGAAAGAAAGGAAAUCCAACUUGAAAUAUUUCAAAGUGUGGGAGUAUCUAGUCAAAGUCCAAGUUCCUAUUCCUAAAAGAAUUAAAAUAGUACCUAUCACUGUGGACUGUAAAAUUAGACUUGAAUAGUCUAGAGAACGGUCUAAAAGGUGUUAAAGGACAUUUACUUCCUUUGAAUAUGAUUUUGUAACAUUUCCUGUGUCUUUUGUAGACUCAUUCUUUGGAAAGAUGGUGUCAAUAAACAAUAUUGGAAGUUAAUUGAUCUUUUUCAAGAAAAUAAACCUUUGGGUUCAAAGUGAAUCCUUAAAAGGAAAAUAAUAGUUGAUGGAACUGUUGAAAAAUAUAAAGCAAGACUUUGUGCCAAAGGCUUUAGAAUUUUUUUUUUAUCUUGUCAAUAUAUAUAUGUACUCGUUAGUAAUUAGAAUUAUAUCCAUUCGGAUGCAAAAAUUAUUAGUGUGGUAUAUGACCUCCAAAUUCAUCAAUUGAAUGUGAAAAGAACUUUCUUAAAUGUAGAAUUGGAGGAAGAAAUUUACAUGGAGGAUUUUGUGGUUCCUGAUAAAUAAAAGAAAGUGUGUGAAAUUGUUAAGUUACAUUAUGGAAGCACCUAAACAAUGACAUAAUUUGAUCAAACUAUGUCGACAAAUGGAUUGAAGAAUGAUGGAAGUGAUAAAUGUAUUCACAUUAAAAUCAUAAGGUCAUUGUUUGUUUGUAUAUUGUUGAUAUUUUGAUCAUCAAUAGAGACAUUAAUGACAUAAAUGCUACUAAACGUAUGCUAUAAAGCAAGUGGAAUGGAAAUUAUUGGAGUUGCUAAUGCGAUCUUAGAUAUAAGAAUUCGUAGAACUCCAUAAUGUUUAGCAUUUUCACGGUCUCAUUGCAUUGAAAAGGUACUUAACUAGUUCAAAUAUUUGGAUGUCAAUAUUUUCAAGUCUCCAGUAAAUGUGAGCUUUGAAUUUCAAAAGGGUGAAAACAAAAGUGACUCACAAUUGGAUUGUUCUACAGUUUUGGGAAGCAUGAUGUAUAUCACAUAAUGUGUGCGAUCAGAUAUAGCAUUUGCUAUUUUAAGCUGAGUCGGUUCACAAGUGAUCCCAAAUAAAUUCAUUAGAUGACAAUAAAUAAAUUUUUGGAGUAUUUAAAAUAAUACUUAAAACUAUGUCUUGCAUUAUAACAAUAUCCAACAAUAUUGAAAGAUAUAGUGAUGCAAAUUGAAUCAUCGGACGAAUGAAGUAAAAUUCACGAGUGGAUAUGUAUUUACUAUUGGUAGAGGAGCAUUCUCUUAGAAAUAUUUCAAAACAGAGAUGUAUCGCUAGCUCUACAAUGAUCUUUGAGCUAGGUUCUCUAGAUAAGGUCGGUGAAUAAGUUGAAAGACUCCGAAAUUUCUUGAUUGAUAUUCUGUUUUGGCCCAAACCAUUGGCAUUAGUAUGCAUACACUUUCACAGUCAAGAUGCAAUAGGUAGGGCAUGGAGCAUGAUGUAUAACGGAAAGUCUCAUCAUAUAUGACAUAAAUAUGAUACCGUUAGAAAACUACUCUCUAGUGAAAUUAUCGGAAUUGACUAUGUAACGUCAAAGGAUAAUAUGUCAAAUCCACUUACAAAAAGGCCUAACUAGAGAGGAAGUUAAUAGAUCGUCUAAGGGAAUGAAUUUACGGCUUAGGACAAGUCAUCAUGGCGGUAACUCUAUCUACUAGACUGGAGAUCCCAAGAGCUAGAUUUAAGGAGAAAAACAAAGUGGUGAAUGACGGUUCGUCAUUGUCAACAAACUCAAUCAAUUCUCAUGAUGAAGACAAUGCUCAAGAACAAGGAUACAACAUUAAGGCUUGUUAAUGAGUUAAUAAAGCUUAAUGAUUUUAAUGAUUUGCUAAGUUUGGUAGAGUUGACCAAAUAGUGUAUCUAUGCGAUAACACGGUUAGGAAUCACCUAUGUGAGUGUGAAGUGUAAGCUGCUUCAAAGAAGAUGAUUGUCAAAAGCCUAUCUCUCUAUACACUCAUGAAACCAUGAGGUGUUCAUGGCUAAAACGAACACAACCGUAAGAACCAUAAACGGUAAAGAGUUAAUUGUGUGACAUAUGGUUGUCUAGGUAUACACCAAAGUUCGACGGUUCAAAGAUAUCGCAUCUACCGAUUGAUCGAGUAUAUCCGACAUAUGUUUACUACAGAAAGUCCAGGGGGAAACCUACUUAUCCAGAUGCAAUUAAUUCUUAUUUGUAAAGUACACAUACUUGUCCGUUUCUUUGUCUUCAAGUCAUUCCCCAUUCAUGCGGGGGAUUGUUGGAUUUUAAAAGGGUGUGAAUGAAAAAUGAAGAGUUGCGACUUUUAUGAAGAGUUAUGAAUUUUAUGAAAUGUUGCGACUUUUAUGAAAAGUUGUGACUUUUAUGGAAAGUUAUGAUUUUUAUGAAAGGUGACGACCUUUCUGAAAGAUUGUGACUUUUCCAAAGGUUUGUGGCCUUUCCGGUAAGGCACAAUAAGAACCUUUUUGCACUACCCUUUGUUUUCUAUAAAUUGAGGGAUUUCCUCUCAUUUUCAUAUAGAAUUCAUGGACUUUUCUUCAACUACUAAAUCUAGUAUUGUAAGUGUACUUUAAUGCCGUUGAGCGGUUCGCUGACAUCACAGCUUUUGGUAUCUAUUCUCUGGUGAUUGAGAUUAUUUUACCCUAGGAGGUCAUAUUCCAAAUCAAACCUCGGAUAUUAGAGGGGAAUAAUUUCCUUAAGGGGACACUGUGAGUUCAUUGGACUUGAUCUUUUUCCUAUUAAAAGUUUCUAGAUUAUAGUACGUGUUUUACAAAUUUUAUAUUUGUGAAUUAAUUUCAGUUCUUCUAUCUUUUUUUUUCUUCACUGGUUCAUUAAACUUGGUAACUUCGUGUUUCUUCAAAGUUUGUUGGAAUUAGUAAGAUUCUGUAGUCACGGAUUAACAACAAUUCUUCUUUAAGAAAAAUAUUUCGUAUAUUUUUUAAAAAAUCUGUUUCUGAUUCUAGUUUUGCUACUAGUUUUAAUUUUCUAGUUGUGAAAAUGUUCUUAAACUUUGUUGUCUUACAAAGAUGUUCAAAGUUUGUUCUAUGUAUGUUUUGAAUACAAGAUGAACAACAUUACAUAGAGAGUGGGAAAACUGGUAUCAAAUUUAUCACCUUAUAAUCCAUCAGAAUAAACUAUUAAGUUAUAACACAAACUAAUCUAAAAAAGGACUAUGUCAUUUCUCAUUGUGAUUGAUCCCCUUAGGUGAAGGCUAAUACGCAAAGAACGUUAGCAUUUUAAGUUCUAGCAUCAGAAGAGUGCCAAAUGACCAGAGUUUAUUAUUCUAGAGCAUUUUGUUGAACCAUAUGUGUUUUUCCAUUUGUUAACUUUCAAUGAUUUUUUCAUUUUAGGCAACAUAGUGUCACGACCCUCCUGAUACCCAGGCAGUUCGCGACCUGCCUAGGCAGCCAGCAGGCGCAGCAGGCGCAAGGGAGCAGGCUGACCACGCAGGUCAGCAGCCAAGGGGACCAGCAGCAGCUGAAGAGGCAGCAAUUACAAUAGUUACAGCCGCUACAGCUGUUACACUUGUUAGUGGGGCGGCUGUUUCAGGAGUUACAAGUCUUUGAGAGGCUUGUGCAGAUCAUGGGGCAGACUAGUCAAGGCUAGGAGUCCUUUUUGGAAGACUUAGGAGUCAUGCCUUGAGUACAUGAAUAGGGGCUUGUAUAGUUGUAUUUAUUUACUCUUAGGGGUUAGAGUAGUAUAAAUAGUAAGGUCAUUGUAUUUUGUAAAGCAUCCAACAAUUCAUUGACUAAUAAGAUACUAGUCCAUUCUUCCAA